GCCACGAUCGCGUAAUCUGGUAUCGCACUGGACUGCUAAUCCAGACCCUUCGGGGUGUCCCGGUUCAAAUCCGGGUCGUGGCG
This 83-nucleotide transfer RNA is filed under the name Candidatus Woesearchaeota archaeon. RNAcentral describes it as "tRNA-Ser". It matches the Rfam family "tRNA". From Rfam's summary of the family: Transfer RNA (tRNA) molecules are approximately 80 nucleotides in length. The record is from RNAcentral. Lineage: Archaea; Nanobdellati; Candidatus Woesearchaeota.